GAUGAACGCUGGCGGCGUGCCUAAUACAUGCAAGUCGAGCGAAUGGAUUAAGAGCUUGCUCUUAUGAAGUUAGCGGCGGACGGGUGAGUAACACGUGAGUAACCUGCCCAUAAGACUGGGAUAACUCCGGGAAACCGGGGCUAAUACCGGCUAACAUUUUGAACCGCAUGGUUCGAAAUUGAAAGGCGGCUUCGGCUGUCACUUAUGGAUGGGCCCGCGUCGCAUUAGCUAGUUGGUGAGGUAACGGCUCACCAAGGCAACGAUGCGUAGCCGACCUGAGAGGGUGAUCGGCCACACUGGGACUGAGACACGGCCCAGACUCCUACGGGAGGCAGCAGUAGGGAAUCUUCCGCAAUGGACGAAAGUCUGACGGAGCAACGCCGCGUGAGUGAUGAAGGCUUUCGAGUCGUAAAACUCUGUUGUUAGGGAAGAACAAGUGCUAGUUGAAUAAGCUGGCACCUUGACGGUACCUAACCAGAAAGCCACGGCUAACUACGUGCCAGCAGCCGCCGUAA
RNAcentral lists this ribosomal RNA (515 nucleotides) under uncultured bacterium. RNAcentral's name for it is "partial 16S ribosomal RNA". It matches the Rfam family "Bacterial small subunit ribosomal RNA", at positions 28 to 523 of the family's 1533-position model. The record is from RNAcentral.